CGAGCCGGGGAGCUGCGUGCGUCCUCCAGCCCCCCGCUCCCCGGAAACCCGAGGGGCUGUGCGCACCGUGCCGGGGACCCCAGUGCGGUGCAAACGCCGGAAGCAGGCGAGGGACCCGCGAGACCUAAGUGGGGACGAGUGGGGGGCGACAGACCGGGCUGGGAAAUUGCCAACCCGUCCCCGGAGACUGCUUUUUGGGAGCCCCGUCCCUUCCCCGGAGGAGGCAAAUUCCACAGGGAGGCAACAUCAGAUCGCCUCUCGCACACUGGCUCUACGAGAGAAAAGCUGUGACAGAAAAAAGCAGAAAGUGAAGCAACAUGUAAGCCAGCAGCCUGAGGACCACACCAUCAAUGAGAGAUGCUGGGAAGAGAUGCUGGGAAGAGAUGGCCCGAGAGUCCAAGAGCAUGAGAUGAGUUACACAUGGAUGUUCUCUGCUGGGCACAAUAGGCCUCAGGAUAAUCAGAGAGACAGUAUUUAUCUUUUAAGCCAAGAAACAGGAUGAGUGAAAGCCCAAUAACAACUGGAAUUGGUUGGUCAGUUUUUUAGAAACAGAGACAGGAUGAAACACC
This 569-nucleotide long non-coding RNA is filed under the name Fukomys damarensis (Damara mole-rat). RNAcentral's name for it is "lncRNA (ENSFDAG00000023152.1)". The record is from RNAcentral. Lineage: Eukaryota; Metazoa; Chordata; Mammalia; Rodentia; Bathyergidae.